CUAUGAACCGCACCAGAACUGUGGCAAAGAGAAAAGAUGAUCAGAAACAAGGAAGCUGACAGUGACGUGUCUCUGUGAAUCACACAAGGACAGCAGAGCUGGAGUUACAAAUGGUGACUACUCGGGGAUACUCCAGGUUUGAGCCUCCCAGCCCUGUUUUGCAAGCCACCAUACAGCUGCAUGCAUGUGCACACAGACAGAGAUUCCCACAAUGUUAAAUAAACAGUAUAACACAAUAACAUCCUAUGGUGACAUCAAUAGCAGAUUAACCU
This is a long non-coding RNA of Oreochromis niloticus (Nile tilapia), 272 nucleotides long. RefSeq lists it as uncharacterized. Lineage: Eukaryota; Metazoa; Chordata; Actinopteri; Cichliformes; Cichlidae. The transcript is spliced from 2 exons. The record is from RefSeq and is a predicted model, not a curated record.